Molecule: ribosomal RNA, 456 nt
Filed under: uncultured bacterium
Lineage: Bacteria
Description: bacterial SSU rRNA
Rfam family: Bacterial small subunit ribosomal RNA
Source: RNAcentral
UACGGAAGGCAGCAGUGGGGAAUAUUGCACAAUGGGCGCAAGCCUGAUGCAGCCAUGCCGCGUGUAUGAAGAAGGCCUUCGGGUUGUAAAGUACUUUCAGUCGUGAGGAAGGUGUUAAGGUUAAUAACCUUAGCAAUUGACGUUAGCGACAGAAGAAGCACCGGCUAACUCCGUGCCAGCAGCCGCGGUAAUACGGAGGGUGCGAGCGUUAAUCGGAAUUACUGGGCGUAAAGGGCACGCAGGCGGUUAAUUAAGUUGGAUGUGAAAUCCCCGGGCUUAACCUGGGAAUGGCAUUCAAGACUGGUUAGCUAGAGUCUUGUAGAGGGGGUAGAAUUCCGAUGUGUAGCGGUGAAAUGCGUAGAGAUGUGGAGGAAUACCGGUGGCGAAGGCGGCCCCUGGACAAAGGACUGACGCUCAUGUGCGAAAGCGUGGGGAGCGAAACAGGGAUUAGAUACC